This 3533-nucleotide long non-coding RNA is filed under the name Salmo salar (Atlantic salmon). RNAcentral's name for it is "lncRNA (ENSSSAG00000104805.1)". The record is from RNAcentral. Lineage: Eukaryota; Metazoa; Chordata; Actinopteri; Salmoniformes; Salmonidae.
CGGGGGCGUUGAUUGUCACCGGCGCUCGUUAACUUGGUUAAUUUUAUUGAGGGCUGUCAACUUGCGACGGGAGGAAGGCGUUAAAUUAUUCAUACCUUCUUGAAAUACAAAAGACAGCUGAGGCGAGGGAGCGCCGUUAUGUAGGUCAUUUCCUCUAUCCUUCACACGGCCGCCACAACGGUGGUGAGAGGCGAGAGGAAAGAGAGAGGAGAGAGGAGAGAGGAGAGAGAGAGAGAGAGAGAGAGAGAGAGGAAAGAGAGGAGAGCAAGGAGAGAUUAGAGAGAGGAAAUAGGAGAAUAGGAGAGAGGAGAGAGAGACAUAGAGAAAGAGAGGGGAUUGAUAGGAGAGAAAAGAGAGGGGAGAGAUAGAGAGGAGAGAGAGGACAAAGGAGAGAGGAGGGAGAGGACAAAGGAGAGAGAGAGAGAGGACUUAGAAGAGAGAGACAGAGAAGAGAGAGGUGAGAGAAGAGAGAAGGGAGAGGAGAGAGAGGAGAGAGGGAGGAGAAAGGAGAAAGAGAGGAGAGAGGGAGGAGAGCAAGGGGAGAUUAGAGAGAGGUAAUAGGGGAUACUGUAGAAGAGAGACAGAUGAGAGAGGAGAUAGAAGAGAGAGAGAUGCAGAUGAGAGAGAGAAGAGAGGGAGAUGAGAGAGAGAUGAGAUAGGAUAGAAAAGAUAGAGGAGAGAGGAGAAAGAGAGAGAGCGAGAGAGAGGAGAGAUAGAGAGGAGAGAGGAGAGAAAGAGGUGAGAGGAGAUUAAGGAGUAAUAGGAGAGAGGAGAGAGAGUUGAGAGGAGUUAGAAAAGCGAGACAGAGGAGAGAGAGGAGAGAGUGGAGAUAGGAGAUAGAAAGGACAGAGAGAUAGGAGAGAGGAGGGAGAAGAGAGAGAGGUGAGAGAGAGGAGAGAGGGGAGGAGAGAGAGGACAGAGAGAUAGGAGAGAGGAGGGAGAGAGGAGAGAGAAAAGAGAAAAGAGAGAGAGCGGAGAGAGGAGAGAUAGUGGAGAGGGAAACGAGGAGAGAGGAGAGAGGAAAUAGAGGAGAGGAGAGAGAGAGCAAAGCGAGGAGAGAAGAGAGAGAAAGGACAGAGAGAUAGGAGAGGGAAGCGAGGAGAGAGAAGAGAGAAGAGAGAGAGGAAAGAGGACUUAGAAGUGAGAGAUAGAGGAGAGAGAUGAGAGGAGAGAAGGAGGAGAGAGGACAUAGGAGAGAGGAGAGAGGAGAGAGAUGGGAGUGAGAGACAGAGGAGAGAGAAGAGAGAGCGAGAGAGAGAGGGGAGGGGAUAGAGAAGAGAGAGGAGAGAGAGGAGAUAGGAGAGAGGAGAGGGAAAGAUGAGAGAGAGAGGAGAUAGGAGAGAGGAAAAAGAGGACAAAGGAGAGAGAUGAGAAAGAGGAGAGAGAAGAGAGAGAUGGAAGCGAGAGAGAGAAAGGAGAGAGCAAAGAGGAAAGAGGAGAGAGAAUAGAGGAGAUAGGAUAGAAAAGAUAGGAGAUGGGAUAGAGAGGAGAGAGGAGAGCAAGGAGAUAUUAGAGAGAGAAGAGAGAAAGAGAGGCAGAGGAGAGAAAGAGGAGAUAGAAAGGAGAGAGAUAUGAGAGAGAGAGGAGAGAGAAGAGCAAGAGAGAAGAGAGAGAGAGGAGAGACAGAGAGGAGAGAGGAGAGAGGAGAGAGAGAGGCGAGAGAGAGGAGAAAGAAGAGCGAGAAGAGAGAGGAGAGAGGAGAGAUAAGAGAGGAGAUAGGAAAGAGGAGCGAGAAGACAGAAGAGAGAGGAGGGAAAGAAAGGAGAGAGAGAGGAGAAAGAAGAGCGAGAAGAGAGAGGAGAGAGAGAAGAGAGGAGAUAGGAUAGAGGAUAGAGGAAAGGGGCUAGAUGAGAGAGGGGAGAGUGGAGAUAGAAGAGGAGAGAGAUGGAGAGGAGAGACAGAGAGGAAAGAGAAAGAGAGGAGAGAAGCGAGAGAGAGAGUAUAAAGAAGAGCAAGAAGAGAGAAGAGAGAGAGGAGAGAGAAGAGAGGAGAUAGGAAAGAGGAGAGAGAAGAUAGGAUAGAGGAAAGAGGAUAGAGGAAAGAGGAGAUAGGAGAGAGAGAAAGGAGAUAGGAUAGAGGAAAGAGGAGAUAGGAGAGAGAGGCAAGAGAAGAGAGGAGAUAGGAUAGAGGAAAGAGGAUAGAGGGGAGAGAGGCGAGAGAAGAGAGAGGAGAGAGAAUAGAGGAGAGAGGAAAGAGGAGAGAGAGGCGAGAGAAGAGAGAGGAGAGAGAAGAGAGGAGAGACAAAGAGGGAAAAAAGAGAGAAAGGAGAGAGGAGAGAGAGGAGAAAAUAGAGAGAUGAGGAAAGAGAGAAAGGAGAGAGAGAGAGGUAGAGAGGAGAAAGUGGACAGAGGAGAGAGAGAUGAGAGAUGAGAGAGACGAGAGAGGAGAGAGAGAGGAGAGAUGAGAGAGAAGAGAGAGGAGAGAGAGGAGAGAGAGAUGAGAGAGGAAAAAUGAGAGAGGAGAGAGAGAAGAGAGAGAGGUAGAGAGGAGAGAGAGGAGAAAGAGGACAAAGGAGAGAGGAGAGAGAGGCGAGAGAAGAGAGGAGAUAGGAUAGAGGAAAGAGGAGAGAGAGGCGAGAGAAGAGAGGAGAUAGGAUAGAGGAAAGAGGAGAGAGAAGAGAGGAUAGAGGGGAGAGAAGAGAGAGGAAAGAGAAGAGAGAGGAGAGAGAGGAAAGAGGAGAGAGAAUCAAGAGAAGAGAGGAGAUAGGAUAGAGGAAAGAGGAGAGAGAAGAGAGGAGAGAGAGGAAAGAGAAAGAGAGGAGAAAAAAGAGAGAAAGGAGAGAGGAGAGAGAGGAGAGAGAGAGAAGAGAGAGGAGAGAGAGGAGAAAGGAGAAAGAGGACAAAGGAGAGAGAUGAGAGAGGAGAGAGGAAAGAGAAGAGAGGAGAUUGCAUAGAGGAAAGAUGAGAGAGGAAAUAGGAUAGAGGAAAGAGGAGAUAUGAGAGAGAGGCGAGAGAAGAGAGGAGAUAGGAUAGAGGAAAGAGGAGUGAGAAGAGAGGAGAGAGAGAGAUCAGCGAGAGAGGAGAGAGGAGAAAUAGGAGAGAGGAGAGUGGAGAAAGAGUACAGAGGAGAGUGAGGAGAGAGAAUAUAUAGAGAGAAGAGAGAGAGGAGAGACGAGAGGGGAGAGAGAAGAGACAAGAGAGAGAGAGAGAGAGAGAGAGAGAAAGAUAAAUAGCUAGGAACACAGAUUGAGUCUCUCUGCUGUGGUCUGUGUGUGUGAGAUAGAGAGAGAGAGAGAGAUAAAUAGCUAGGAACACAUAUUGAUAUAUAGAGAGGAGAUAAAGAGAGUGAGAGAAGUCCAGGAUUUAGGACACUUAACAAUUCCAGAGACUUUUUGACCACUUAGCAGAUGCUCGCAACUUACAGGAGCAAUUAGGGUUAAGUGCCUUGCUCAAGGGCACGUCAACUGAUUUUUCACUUAAUCGGCUUGGGGAUUCGAACAAGCGACCUUUUGGUUACUGGCCCAACACUCUUAAUCUCUAGGCUACCUGCCGCAGUAGGGGGCUCCUCCUUGAUAUCCGCCCAGCAAACCCAGG